GAUGAACGCUGGCGGCGUGCCUAAUACAUGCAAGUCGAGCGAACAGACGCGGACCUUGCUCCUCUGACGUUAGCGGCGGACGGGUGAGUAACACGUGGAUACCCUACCUAUCAGACUGGGAUAACUUCGGGAAACCGGAGCUAAUACCGGAUAAUAUAUUUAACCGCAUGGUUCAAUAGUGAAAGACGGUUUUGCUGUCGCUUAUAGCUGGAUCGGCGCCGCAUUAGCUAGUUGGUAAGGUAACGGCUUACCAAGGCGACGAUGCGUAGCCGACCUGAGAGAGUGAUCGGCCGCCCGAGAGGUGGGACACGGUCAAUGCUCCUGCGGGAGGGAGCAGUAGCGAAUCUUCCGCAGUGGGCGAAAGCCUGACGGAGCAACGCCGAGUGAGAUGUGAAGGUCUUGGGUGCGUGAAACUCUGUUAUGAGGGAAAAACAACUGUGUAAGGAACUAUGCACGUCGUGACGGUACCUAAUCAGAAAGCCACGGCUAACUACGUG
RNAcentral lists this ribosomal RNA (497 nucleotides) under uncultured bacterium. RNAcentral describes it as "partial 16S ribosomal RNA". It matches the Rfam family "Bacterial small subunit ribosomal RNA", at positions 28 to 507 of the family's 1533-position model. The record is from RNAcentral.